AGCAUGUGCACGCCUUGUCAUCUUUAUAUCUCCACCUGUGCACCUUUUGUAGGCCUUCCAGGUCUAUGUUGCUUUUUCAUUUACCCCAAUGUAUGUUAAUAGAAUGUUGUGCAUAUAAAAAUCUAUACAACUUUCAGCAACGGAUCUCUUGGCUCUCGCAUCGAUGAAGAACGCAGCGAAAUGCGAUAAGUAAUGUGAAUUGCAGAAUUCAGUGAAUCAUCGAAUCUUUGAACGCACCUUGCGCUCCUUGGUAUUCCGAGGAGCAUGCCUGUUUGAGUGUCAUUAAUAUAUAUCAAUCUUCUCAUUUAUGAGUGGUUUGGAUGUGGGGGUUUGCUGGCUUCUUAAAUGAGUUCAGCUCCUCUGAAAUGCAUUAGCAGAACAACCUUGUUCAUUGGCGUGAUAACUAUCUACGCUAUUGAAUGUGAGGGAUGGUUCAGCUUUCUAACAGUCCUUGGACAACUUAUCAUUUAUGUGACCUCAAAUCAGGUAGGACUACCCGCUGAACUUAAGCAUAUCAAUAA
Molecule: ribosomal RNA, 521 nt
Filed under: uncultured Cortinarius
Lineage: Eukaryota; Fungi; Basidiomycota; Agaricomycetes; Agaricales; Cortinariaceae
Description: eukaryotic LSU rRNA
Rfam family: 5.8S ribosomal RNA (bases 129-282)
Source: RNAcentral